RNAcentral lists this ribosomal RNA (709 nucleotides) under unidentified archaeon. RNAcentral's name for it is "bacterial SSU rRNA". It matches the Rfam family "Archaeal small subunit ribosomal RNA", at positions 126 to 836 of the family's 1478-position model. The record is from RNAcentral.
AUAACCCCGGGAAACUGGGUAUAAUACCCGAUAGUUCUGGGAUGCUGGAAUGCUUCCAGGACGAAAGCUCCGGCGACUGAGGAUGGGUCUGCGGCCUAUCAGGUAGUAGUGGGUGUAAUGUACCUACUAGCCUACGACGGGUACGGGUCGUGAGAGCGAGAGCCCGGAGAUGGAUUCUGAGACACGAAUCCAGGCCCUACGGGGUGCAGCAGGCGCGAAAACUUUACAAUGCUGGCAACAGCGAUAAGGGGACCUCGAGUGCCAGGAUACAAUCUUGGCUGUCGUAAUGCCUAAAAAGCAUUACAUAGCAAGGGCCGGGCAAGACCGGUGCCAGCCGCCGCGGUAACACCGGCGGCUCGAGUGGUAACCGCUAUUAUUGGGUCUAAAGGGUCUGUAGCCGGCCGGAUAAGUCUUUUGGGAAAUCCAGCUGCUCAACAGUUGGGCUUUCAGAAGAUACUGUUCGGCUCGAGGCCGGGAGAGGUGAGAGGUACUUCAGGGGUAGGGGUGAAAUCUUGUAAUCCUUGAAGGACCACCAGUGGCGAAGGCGUCUCACCAGAACGGUCCUGACGGCAAGGGACGAAAGCUAGGGGCACGAACCGGAUUAGAUACCCGGGUAGUCCUAGCCGUAAACGAUACUCGCUAGGUGUCAGCCACGGUGCGACCGUGGUUGGUGCCGUAGGGAAGCCGUGAAGCGAGCCACCUGGGAAGU